GCGUAGAAGACCCCGGGGACGUAGCAGCCCAGGAUGCCGAUGGAGAUGCCCGUGUAGUCGAGCGCCGUCCAGCGGCGGCUGCUUUUCUCUGAGCGGUGGCAGCAGAACAGGGAGUCCCGCCCAGGAUGUUAGUCACGCUGCUGGGGAGCCAGCCUGGAGCCCCCGCCUGCGGGGGAGUCCUCUCUGGCUCUGCUGGAUCACGGAGCACGUCCAUCUGCUGCAGCCACCCCUGCUCGCCGGUCCGGCACCGCGUCCCUCGGCUGUUCCUGCUUGACUCAUCUGUUAACAGGUGGACGGAGAGGGUGGAAUAGGAGGCCUUGGCAGUCUGAGUCUGCGUGGGAACAGUCUUACCCGCGUCCGCAACUUCGGAAAAUUCGCGCCGGAAUAGUAGCCAUGAUGAAUUUAUUGCCGCCUUCUUGUUUUUUUUUCUUCCUUUCAAAAUUUCUUUCUCCCCUCAUCUCUUUUAUUUAUCGAAGUAUGUAUUUAUUUACCAGGCACCCUGAUAAAGUGUAAUUAAAUAAUUUAACCAAUUAUUAUUAAUAUAUAUAUAUAUAUAUUAAUUUUGGUUACUUUGAGCUCUAGCCAACAUGGCAAAGCCAACAUGGUACCUACUGUAAUGCUCCCACAUUAUAGACACAUUUUGAGGGUGGUGAUUCUCCUCAUACCAAAGAAAUGAAGAAUAAAAUAAUGCGGGUAGUCUGAGGGCCUUCGCUGCUCCAGAUUAUUUUACGAGUCUUGAAAGAGCGAACCGCGCACCACAUUAAAAGCGCUCCUCGCCGGACGGCUAACUGCUCCUCUCCUUAAAACUCGGAAGCACCCCAUCAAUUAUGUCCUAAGCAGCCAUACUGAAGAUAUCACUCGGAACAGUGUGAGGGGGACGAGGCUGUCAGGCCGAUGAUAGAUGUGCUGGGAUGGCGGUGGCCUGCCGCGGCGGGCUCUCCUGGGCACGCAGCUGCGGAGCGCUUAAUGCCGUACGCACGCGCGCGGACACACACGCGCGCACACACACACACACACAAACAUAUGCACGUGCAUGGGCACACAUAUGUACACGCACAGCAGGAGGAAGGAAUCUGCCACGGUGCUGGGUAAUGGCAGCCGACGUUAGUGUCUUACGGAGCAAGUAGGGAGUAUCCUUCUCUGAUAGCUCCUGUACGCCUCUACUAGUACAGAACUAACCGUGGGUUUCUCUAAAAGCAGCCUCUCUCUGUUUGUCAGAGGCCUAAUGUACACUGAAGGGAUGUUUCUUCACACUGUAGUUUU
Anguilla rostrata (American eel) is the source of this 1263-nucleotide long non-coding RNA. RefSeq lists it as uncharacterized. The record is from RefSeq and is a predicted model, not a curated record. Lineage: Eukaryota; Metazoa; Chordata; Actinopteri; Anguilliformes; Anguillidae. The transcript has 4 exons.